GAUGAACGCUGACAGAAUGCUUAACACAUGCAAGUCAACUUGAACUUCGGUUUGGGUGGCGGACGGGUGAGUAACGCGUAAAGAACUUGCCUCACAGCUAGGGACAACAUUUGGAAACGAAUGCUAAUACCUGAUAUUAUGAUUUUAGGGCAUCCUAGAAUUAUGAAAGCUAUAUGCGCUGUGAGAGAGCUUUGCGUCCCAUUAGCUAGUUGGAGAGGUAACGGCUCACCAAGGCGAUGAUGGGUAGCCGGCCUGAGAGGGUGAACGGCCACAAGGGGACUGAGACACGGCCCUUACUCCUACGGGAGGCAGCAGUGGGGAAUAUUGGGCAAUGGACCAAGAGUCUGAUCCAGCAAUUCUGUGUGCACGAUGAAGUUUUUCGGAAUGUAAAGUGCUUUCAGUUGGGAAGAAAAAAAUGACGGUACCAACAGAAGAAGUGACGGCUAAAUACGUG
This 454-nucleotide ribosomal RNA is filed under the name uncultured bacterium. RNAcentral describes it as "partial 16S ribosomal RNA". It matches the Rfam family "Bacterial small subunit ribosomal RNA", at positions 28 to 507 of the family's 1533-position model. The record is from RNAcentral.